Molecule: ribosomal RNA, 2930 nt
Filed under: Escherichia coli
Lineage: Bacteria; Pseudomonadati; Pseudomonadota; Gammaproteobacteria; Enterobacterales; Enterobacteriaceae
Description: 23S ribosomal RNA
Rfam family: Bacterial large subunit ribosomal RNA
Source: RNAcentral
GGGUUGUGAGGUUAAGCGACUAAGCGUACACGGUGGAUGCCCUGGCAGUCAGAGGCGAUGAAGGACGUGCUAAUCUGCGAUAAGCGUCGGUAAGGUGAUAUGAACCGUUAUAACCGGCGAUUUCCGAAUGGGGAAACCCAGUGUGAUUCGUCACACUAUCAUUAACUGAAUCCAUAGGUUAAUGAGGCGAACCGGGGGAACUGAAACAUCUAAGUACCCCGAGGAAAAGAAAUCAACCGAGAUUCCCCCAGUAGCGGCGAGCGAACGGGGAGCAGCCCAGAGCCUGAAUCAGUGUGUGUGUUAGUGGAAGCGUCUGGAAAGGCGUGCGAUACAGGGUGACAGCCCCGUACACAAAAAUGCACAUGCUGUGAGCUCGAUGAGUAGGGCGGGACACGUGGUAUCCUGUCUGAAUAUGGGGGGACCAUCCUCCAAGGCUAAAUACUCCUGACUGACCGAUAGUGAACCAGUACCGUGAGGGAAAGGCGAAAAGAACCCCGGCGAGGGGAGUGAAAAAGAACCUGAAACCGUGUACGUACAAGCAGUGGGAGCACGCUUAGGCGUGUGACUGCGUACCUUUUGUAUAAUGGGUCAGCGACUUAUAUUCUGUAGCAAGGUUAACCGAAUAGGGGAGCCGAAGGGAAACCGAGUCUUAACUGGGCGUUAAGUUGCAGGGUAUAGACCCGAAACCCGGUGAUCUAGCCAUGGGCAGGUUGAAGGUUGGGUAACACUAACUGGAGGACCGAACCGACUAAUGUUGAAAAAUUAGCGGAUGACUUGUGGCUGGGGGUGAAAGGCCAAUCAAACCGGGAGAUAGCUGGUUCUCCCCGAAAGCUAUUUAGGUAGCGCCUCGUGAAUUCAUCUCCGGGGGUAGAGCACUGUUUCGGCAAGGGGGUCAUCCCGACUUACCAACCCGAUGCAAACUGCGAAUACCGGAGAAUGUUAUCACGGGAGACACACGGCGGGUGCUAACGUCCGUCGUGAAGAGGGAAACAACCCAGACCGCCAGCUAAGGUCCCAAAGUCAUGGUUAAGUGGGAAACGAUGUGGGAAGGCCCAGACAGCCAGGAUGUUGGCUUAGAAGCAGCCAUCAUUUAAAGAAAGCGUAAUAGCUCACUGGUCGAGUCGGCCUGCGCGGAAGAUGUAACGGGGCUAAACCAUGCACCGAAGCUGCGGCAGCGACGCUUAUGCGUUGUUGGGUAGGGGAGCGUUCUGUAAGCCUGCGAAGGUGUGCUGUGAGGCAUGCUGGAGGUAUCAGAAGUGCGAAUGCUGACAUAAGUAACGAUAAAGCGGGUGAAAAGCCCGCUCGCCGGAAGACCAAGGGUUCCUGUCCAACGUUAAUCGGGGCAGGGUGAGUCGACCCCUAAGGCGAGGCCGAAAGGCGUAGUCGAUGGGAAACAGGUUAAUAUUCCUGUACUUGGUGUUACUGCGAAGGGGGGACGGAGAAGGCUAUGUUGGCCGGGCGACGGUUGUCCCGGUUUAAGCGUGUAGGCUGGUUUUCCAGGCAAAUCCGGAAAACUAAGGCUGAGGCGUGAUGACGAGGCACUACGGUGCUGAAGCAACAAAUGCCCUGCUUCCAGGAAAAGCCUCUAAGCAUCAGGUAACAUCAAAUCGUACCCCAAACCGACACAGGUGGUCAGGUAGAGAAUACCAAGGCGCUUGAGAGAACUCGGGUGAAGGAACUAGGCAAAAUGGUGCCGUAACUUCGGGAGAAGGCACGCUGAUAUGUAGGUGAAGCGACUUGCUCGUGGAGCUGAAAUCAGUCGAAGAUACCAGCUGGCUGCAACUGUUUAUUAAAAACACAGCACUGUGCAAACACGAAAGUGGACGUAUACGGUGUGACGCCUGCCCGGUGCCGGAAGGUUAAUUGAUGGGGUCAGCGCAAGCGAAGCUCUUGAUCGAAGCCCCGGUAAACGGCGGCCGUAACUAUAACGGUCCUAAGGUAGCGAAAUUCCUUGUCGGGUAAGUUCCGACCUGCACGAAUGGCGUAAUGAUGGCCAGGCUGUCUCCACCCGAGACUCAGUGAAAUUGAACUCGCUGUGAAGAUGCAGUGUACCCGCGGCAAGACGGAAAGACCCCGUGAACCUUUACUAUAGCUUGACACUGAACAUUGAGCCUUGAUGUGUAGGAUAGGUGGGAGGCUUGGAAGUGUGGACGCCAGUCUGCAUGGAGCCGACCUUGAAAUACCACCCUUUAAUGUUUGAUGUUCUAACGUUGACCCGUAAUCCGGGUUGCGGACAGUGUCUGGUGGGUAGUUUGACUGGGGCGGUCUCCUCCUAAAGAGUAACGGAGGAGCACGAAGGUUGGCUAAUCCUGGUCGGACAUCAGGAGGUUAGUGCAAUGGCAUAAGCCAGCUUGACUGCGAGCGUGACGGCGCGAGCAGGUGCGAAAGCAGGUCAUAGUGAUCCGGUGGUUCUGAAUGGAAGGGCCAUCGCUCAACGGAUAAAAGGUACUCCGGGGAUAACAGGCUGAUACCGCCCAAGAGUUCAUAUCGACGGCGGUGUUUGGCACCUCGAUGUCGGCUCAUCACAUCCUGGGGCUGAAGUAGGUCCCAAGGGUAUGGCUGUUCGCCAUUUAAAGUGGUACGCGAGCUGGGUUUAGAACGUCGUGAGACAGUUCGGUCCCUAUCUGCCGUGGGCGCUGGAGAACUGAGGGGGGCUGCUCCUAGUACGAGAGGACCGGAGUGGACGCAUCACUGGUGUUCGGGUUGUCAUGCCAAUGGCACUGCCCGGUAGCUAAAUGCGGAAGAGAUAAGUGCUGAAAGCAUCUAAGCACGAAACUUGCCCCGAGAUGAGUUCUCCCUGACUCCUUGAGAGUCCUGAAGGAACGUUGAAGACGACGACGUUGAUAGGCCGGGUGUGUAAGCGCAGCGAUGCGUUGAGCUAACCGGUACUAAUGAACCGUGAGGCUUAACCUUACAACGCCGAAGCUGUU